RNAcentral lists this ribosomal RNA (497 nucleotides) under uncultured Fusibacter sp. RNAcentral describes it as "bacterial SSU rRNA". It matches the Rfam family "Bacterial small subunit ribosomal RNA", at positions 887 to 1382 of the family's 1533-position model. The record is from RNAcentral. Lineage: Bacteria; Bacillati; Bacillota; Clostridia; Eubacteriales; Fusibacteraceae.
CGCCAGCCCGCUCAGAAACUCAAAGGAAUUGACGGGACCCCGCACAAGCGGUGGAUCAUGUUGUUUAAUUCGAUGAUACGCGAAGAACCUUACCAGGUCUUGACAUCCCCCGCGAUGCUUUAGAGAUAAAGCGGAGGUAUUCGGGGAGACAGGUGGUGCAUGGUUGUCGUCAGCUCGUGUCGUGAGAUGUUGGGUUAAGUCCCGCAACGAGCGCAACCCUUGUGUUUAGUUGCAAACAGGUCAAGCUGUGCACUCUAGACAGACUGCCGUGGACAACACGGAGGAAGGUGGGGAUGACGUCAAAUCAUCAUGCCCCUUAUGAUCUGGGCUACACACGUGCUACAAUGGCCGGUACAACGGGCAGCGAAGGAGCGAUCCGGAGCGAAUCCUAAAAAGCCGGUCCCAGUUCGGAUUGCAGGCUGAAACUCGCCUACAUGAAGUUGGAGUUGCUAGUAAUCGCGAAUCAGAAUGUCGCGGUGAAUGCGUUCCCGGGUCUU